This 481-nucleotide ribosomal RNA is filed under the name uncultured organism. Its description in RNAcentral is "partial 16S ribosomal RNA". It matches the Rfam family "Bacterial small subunit ribosomal RNA", at positions 329 to 801 of the family's 1533-position model. The record is from RNAcentral.
ACGUACACUCCUACGGGAGGCAGCAGUGGGGAAUAUUGCACAAUGGGCGCAAGCCUGAUGCAGCCAUGCCGCGUGUAUGAAGAAGGCCUUCGGGUUGUAAAGUACUUUCAGCGGGGAGGAAGGCGAUAAGGUUAAUAACCUUGUUGAUUGACGUUACCCGCAGAAGAAGCACCGGCUAACUCCGUGCCAGCAGCCGCGGUAAUACGGAGGGUGCAAGCGUUAAUCGGAAUUACUGGGCGUAAAGCGCACGUAGGCGGUCUGUCAAGUCGGAUGUGAAAUUCCCGGGCUCAACCUGGGAACUGCAUUCGAAACUGGCAGGCUAGAGUCUUGUAGAGGGGGGUAGAAUUCCAGGUGUAGCGGUGAAAUGCGUAGAGAUCUGGAGGAAUACCGGUGGCGAAGGCGGCCCCCUGGACAAAGACUGACGCUCAGGUGCGAAAGCGUGGGGAGCAAACAGGAUUAGAUACCCCAGUAGUCCCAUGAU